UUAACUAUUAUAUAGUACUCAGACAUCACUAAAUAAACGAGUUUGGGUCCUCUGGCAGGCGCGGUCAGCGUGAGCCGACGCCCGAAGGCGGCCUGCCAAAGCAACAAAGGUAUGUAUACACGGUUUGGGAAUAGAACCCAUUUCAAAAAACGGGGCAUUCUUUAAUGAUCCUUCCGCAGGUUCACCUACGGAAA
This 194-nucleotide unclassified non-coding RNA is filed under the name uncultured fungus. RNAcentral describes it as "sequence contains ITS1, 5.8S rRNA gene". The record is from RNAcentral. Lineage: Eukaryota; Fungi.